CCUUGCCCUCCACCCAUCCGU
RNAcentral lists this unclassified non-coding RNA (21 nucleotides) under Aquifex aeolicus. Its description in RNAcentral is "putative small non-coding RNA". Lineage: Bacteria; Pseudomonadati; Aquificota; Aquificia; Aquificales; Aquificaceae. The record is from RNAcentral.